Molecule: long non-coding RNA, 624 nt
Organism: Orcinus orca (killer whale)
Lineage: Eukaryota; Metazoa; Chordata; Mammalia; Artiodactyla; Delphinidae
Exons: 3
Source: RefSeq, a predicted model, not a curated record
AGUCAUGCUCAUAAACCAGGUCAUUCACAUACUGCGAUUCAUGUACUGAAGAUUUUUUUCCCAUUUUCAGGAAUCAUCUAAAGUGCGCAACAUAGGAAAUCUCAAGGAAGAUUAUUGUCCACAUUAAAGGCAAAUGUCUCUGAUGACCUGACCUUGCUCUUUUGUUAACUCAGUACCACAAACAGUGGGCAAGUGUUGGUUUGUUGCCAUUUCAAAUAUUCUCUUUCUCCUCCUGGGGACACUCACCCUACUGGAGUGGGACCUCAAAACUGGGGCUUCAAAGUGAAACGCUGUCCUGGCCAACUGUCAACCUCGAGCUGGUGAACAUGUCGUCAGGUUCACAUGAAGGAAUUUUACCUGUGUCUCAUUGGCUCAAGGAGGGAUGAUUCUGUCUGCUGACUCCUGGACUUGAAAGCAGAUGGUGGAGGAGCCCACGGCUUCUGGAACAGCACAGGUGGAGGUCAUGAUUUCUGCUGUUGCCCUUUGUCUUCCUACUGAAAGGCUGAUUGUCCCAGAAAUGUUUAAGGAAUAUGUGUGAACAUGUUUGUAUGUGUAAAUGUGUCUGUGUAAAAUUAGUUUUGCUCCAUAAAUCCACUUUUCUCAAGAGAAAGGUAAUAAAUCAGG